CUUCAAACAAAAUGGCGGCCUUUUGUAGCGAUUGCCUGCAGCUGGCCAGUAUCCUGCCUGGCCUGGCGUCCAUCCCUGGCAUUAUCCGGUCGGCAGUGGCAGGAACGGACUCCCCUGGAAAGAAGACUCUUUAGUCUAAAGUUCAUCGAUGUCUGGAAACGUGAACUGGCAGAAGUAGGGAAGCAGAUUACACAGCAGGAGAUGAAGCUCAUCAUGCAUCACUGCUGUCUGUCAGUAUAGAGUGGUCAAACACCAGCUUCAGUUGUUUACCAUGUCCUUGGUCUGAUUGAAGACUACUGGUCAUAUACUAGUAGACAAAUAUGAAAUUGUCAGGUAGAUUGGUUAGAAAUAGGUGUCCUAAUGAAUUGUAGAAUAGGGCUGUGUUGUUUUAUUUUGUUCUCUUUGAUGCCAAGUCAUCUGAGUUGCACAUAUUUAGGACAAGGUCUCUAUAAAACUCCUGCUUGCUUGCUAACCACCAUGAUUAGCAAGGGAAAGUACUGAGCCAGCGGUCACUACGAAGGAUGAUACUCAGGCUAAUGAAACUGUAUAAAGCAUAUACUAAGUGAAUGUACAAUGAAUCUUGUAUUUAGCACAAUAAUUUGUAUCCUGCUGAUACUAAGUGUAAUGUGAGUUUGCUUUUCCAAUUGGAGUACUGUAUAUACCUGUAUUUGUGAUAGUUUGAUAUGCCAUUUAGAAAAAAAACUAAACUACACCUGUUAACUCUAUUGUUUCGAAUGCCUUUUGUGUGCAGUGUGUCAUAUUCAUUGGUUCAUAUUUCGAUGCCUGAGAAAUGUGCAUCCUUGAAUCCAUACAUCUGCAAUCACUGUAUAUAUGUAAACGCUUGUGACUGUAUCUGAAAGCAGCAAGAUCUACAUCUGUGUAUAUAGCUACAUGUACAGUGCAUAUACUGCCCAAUAUUGUCCCAAGGAAGGUGACAGAUGGUUACUGAAGCAUUGGUGUGGAAUAAAGAAAGAGUUGUGAGAAAAA
Long non-coding RNA from Branchiostoma floridae (Florida lancelet), 987 nucleotides. RefSeq lists it as uncharacterized. The transcript is spliced from 2 exons. NCBI's taxonomy places the organism in Eukaryota, Metazoa, Chordata, Leptocardii, Amphioxiformes, Branchiostomatidae. The record is from RefSeq and is a predicted model, not a curated record.